This 780-nucleotide ribosomal RNA is filed under the name Candidatus Phytoplasma pruni. Its description in RNAcentral is "bacterial SSU rRNA". It matches the Rfam family "Bacterial small subunit ribosomal RNA", at positions 202 to 986 of the family's 1533-position model. Lineage: Bacteria; Bacillati; Mycoplasmatota; Mollicutes; Acholeplasmatales; Acholeplasmataceae. The record is from RNAcentral.
AUCUUCUUUGAAGGNAUGCUUAAGGAGGGGCUUGCGACACAUUAGUUAGUUGGCAGGGUAAAGGCCUACCAAGACUAUGAUGUGUAGCUGGACUGAGAGGUUGAACAGCCACAUUGGGACUGAGACACGGCCCAAACUCCUACGGGAGGCAGCAGUAGGGAAUUUUCGGCAAUGGAGGAAACUCUGACCGAGCAACGCCGCGUGAACGAUGAAGUACCUCGGUAUGUAAAGUUCUUUUAUUAAGGAAGAAAAAAGAGUGGAAAAACUCCCUUGACGGUACUUAAUGAAUAAGCCCCGGCUAAUUAUGUGCCAGCAGCCGCGGUAAUACAUAAGGGGCGAGCGUUAUCCGGAAUUAUUGGGCGUAAAGGGUGCGUAGGCGGUUUAAUAAGUCUAUAGUUUAAUUUCAGUGCUUAACGCUGUUGUGCUAUAGAAACUGUUUUACUAGAGUGAGAUAGAGGCAAGCGGAAUUCCAUGUGUAGCGGUAAAAUGCGUAAAUAUAUGGAGGAACACCAGAGGCGUAGGCGGCUUGCUGGGUCUUUACUGACGCUGAGGCACGAAAGCGUGGGGAGCAAACAGGAUUAGAUACCCUGGUAGUCCACGCCGUAAACGAUGAGUACUAAGUGUCGGGUAAAACUGGUACUGAAGUUAACACAUUAAGUACUCCGCCUGAGUAGUACGUACGCAAGUAUGAAACUUAAAGGAAUUGACGGGACUCCGCACAAGCGGUGGAUCAUGUUGUUUAAUUCGAAGAUACACGAAAAACCUUACCAGGUCUUGACA